RNAcentral lists this ribosomal RNA (1287 nucleotides) under metagenome. RNAcentral's name for it is "bacterial LSU rRNA". It matches the Rfam family "Bacterial large subunit ribosomal RNA", at positions 1646 to 2925 of the family's 2925-position model. The record is from RNAcentral.
CCUGAAAACCGACACUGGUGGGCGAGAUGAAUAUUCUCAGGCGCUUGAGAGAACUCUGGAGAAGGAACUCGGCAAAUUGACACCGUAACUUCGGAAGAAGGUGUGCCUCUAGUAGGUGAAGGCGUACAGCUGGAGCCCAAUGAGGUCUCAGAAAAUCGGUGGCUGCGACUGUUUAUUAAAAACACAGCACUCUGCAAACACGAAAGUGGACGUAUAGGGUGUGACGCCUGCCCGGUGCCGGAAGGUUAAAUGAUGGGGUGCAAGCUCCUGAUUGAAGCCCCGGUAAACGGCGGCCGUAACGAUAACGGUCCUAAGGUAGCGAAAUUCCUUGUCGGGUAAGUUCCGACCUGCACGAAUGGCGUAACGCUGGCCACACUGUCUCCUCCAGAGACUCAGCGAAGUUGAAAUGGUUGUGAUGAUGCAAUCUACCCGCGGCUAGACGGAAAGACCCCGUGCACCUUUACUGUAACUUUGCAUUGGACUGUGAACCGAUCUGUGUAGGAUAGCUGGGAGGCUUUGAAGUGGGGGCGCUAGCUCUCAUGGAGCCAACGUUGAAAUACCAGCCUGAUUGUUUUGCGGUUCUAACCUAGGCUCGUCAUCCGGGCCGGGGAUCGUGCAUGGUAGGCAGUUUGACUGGGGCGGUCUCCUCCCAAAGAGUAACGGAGGAGUACGAAGGUGCGCUUACCACGGUCGGAAAUCGUGGCUUAAUGUGCAUAGGCAAAAGCGCGCUUGACUGCGAGACGUACAUGUCGAGCAGGUGCGAAAGCAGGUCUAAGUGAUCCGGUGGUUCUGUAUGGAAGGGCCAUCGCUCAACGGAUAAAAGGUACGCCGGGGAUAACAGGCUGAUUCCUCCCAAGAGUUCAUAUCGACGGGGGAGUUUGGCACCUCGAUGUCGGCUCAUCACAUCCUGGGGCUGUAGCCGGUCCCAAGGGUAUGGCUGUUCGCCAUUUAAAGUGGUACGUGAGCUGGGUUCAAAACGUCGUGAGACAGUUUGGUCCCUAUCUACCGUGGGCGUUGGAAGUUUGAGGGGGGCUGCUCCUAGUACGAGAGGACCGGAGUGGACGCAUCCCUGGUGUACCGAUUGUCACGCCAGUGGCAUUGUCGGGUAGCUAUAUGCGGAAGGGAUAACCGCUGAAAGCAUCUAAGCGGGAAACCUGCCCCAAGAUGAGACUUCCCGGAGGCUUGACCUCCCUAAAGGGUCGUCCGAGACCAGGACGUUGAUAGGCUGGGUGUGCAAGGGCCGUGAGGCCUUCAGCUAACCAGUACUAAUUGCCCGUGUGGCUUGAC